This 492-nucleotide ribosomal RNA is filed under the name uncultured bacterium. RNAcentral describes it as "partial 16S ribosomal RNA". It matches the Rfam family "Bacterial small subunit ribosomal RNA", at positions 29 to 507 of the family's 1533-position model. The record is from RNAcentral.
AGUGAACGCUGGCGGUAGGCCUAACACAUGCAAGUCGAACGGCAGCACAGUAAGAGCUUGCUCUUACGGGUGGCGAGUGGCGGACGGGUGAGGAAUACAUCGGAAUCUACUUUUUCGUGGGGGAUAACGUAGGGAAACUUACGCUAAUACCGCAUACGACCUACGGGUGAAAGCAGGGGAUCUUCGGACCUUUCGCGAUUGAAUGAGCCGAUGUCGGAUUAGCUAGUUGGCGGGGUAAAGGCCCACCAAGGCGACGAUCCGUAGCUGGUCUGAGAGGAUGAUCAGCCACACUGGAACUGAGACACGGUCCAGACUCCUACGGGAGGCAGCAGUGGGGAAUAUUGGACAAUGGGCGAAAGCCUGAUGCAGCCAUACCGCGUGGGUGAAGAAGGCCUUCGGGUUGUAAAGCCCUUUUGUUGGGAAAGAAAAGCAGCAGGUUAAUACCCCGCUGUUCUGACGGUACCCAAAGAAUAAGCACCGGCUAACUUCGUG